UUUAAACACUGCUGAGUGCCAACGCUCAGCAUAGACGCUCUUCCAAGCCAUGCUGCAGAGACUACUUAGCACAGUGGCAAGUGGGUGCUGCUUGUCAUCACGAGGAAGCUUAAAUGUUUUAAUGAGACCAACAGAUGCAGUUUUCGUAACACACUGCUUACCUGCUUUGAGUGUCGUUCUUGUCCCUUCACCGGAUUUGCAGCGGUGAAAAAUGAGGUGAUUAGAACUAACAGCUAACAACAGAAAAUCAUCAUCAGAUGGAGAAGUUCCCCAGGAAUUGACAGUAGGCUGCUUCUGUUCAACACCUCCUCCAAUCACACGGGAGCAAGUAUAAAUGUUGCUGAUACAACUUCCAGAUGACACAAAACCCAGAUGAACAGCGAUGUCACUGAGCUCAGGGAAGCAUGGAAUGAUUUGGAUGACUUGUGCGUUUAAAGAAAAUCCUACUCUACAAGCUCCUUAUUAAGUCAUUUACUUCAGAAGAAAGAGGUUUCUACAGAAUGGAAGGACUUCAUCUUGGAAGGCAGUGCUUCUAGAAGAGUUUGGUGAUCAGAAUGAAAAAACAGCUAUACUCCAAUUCCUGGUGUAAGUCUGCAGACAAAGGGGCUAGUGAGAUUUUUGCUUGUUUCAAGAGGGAGAUCAAGAAUAGGAGUGGGAGAUCUUCCCUCUAUAAAGCACUCCUGAGACCAGUAAAAACCAGUACAGAUAUGUUAUAGUGUUUAUAUAUUCAAAAGAAUAUGGAGAAAUGGAGAUGUGCAGAAAAGAGACAUCAGAAUUAUUUUUAAGCUGAAGAAAAUGUCUUGAGGUAAAAAGACUAAGAGAAUUCUCAAUAUUUAUCUAAGCAUUUGUUAUCAUGCUCAGUAGAAGAGGCUUAUAUGAUCUAAGAGUUGAAGGAUAUCAGUGUAGUCUAGUAGCAUCUUUAUGGAAAAGAAUGGCAUCAGUCUUGAUUAUCAGAGAUGGCUCAGCAUCUUCUCUUG
Molecule: long non-coding RNA, 977 nt
Organism: Passer montanus (Eurasian tree sparrow)
Lineage: Eukaryota; Metazoa; Chordata; Aves; Passeriformes; Passeridae
Exons: 3
Source: RefSeq, a predicted model, not a curated record